AAGAAGAGGUUGGUGUUACAUGGAGCAGCAGCACAGUCAAGCAGGGAACAGAUCACGUAAAGCCCUUUAGAGAGUGAAGUCGGCUUUUUAUGCUAGGUGCAACUGGGAGUUCUGAACACGGCAAAGUUGGACAUUCCAAAGAUGGCGUAGAUGAACAUGACCAGGAAGAGCAGGAGGCCGAUGUUAAACAACGCAGGAAGGGACAUCAUCAAAGCAAAGAGCAGCGUGCGGAUCCCCUUUGCUCCUUUGACUAGACGUAGGAUUCGGCCAAUCCUGGCAAGACGGAUCACUCGGAACAGGCUGUCUUACUGUGACUUUUAUU
RNAcentral lists this long non-coding RNA (322 nucleotides) under Homo sapiens (human). RNAcentral describes it as "HSALNT0042636". Lineage: Eukaryota; Metazoa; Chordata; Mammalia; Primates; Hominidae. The record is from RNAcentral.